Molecule: ribosomal RNA, 1812 nt
Filed under: marine metagenome
Description: bacterial LSU rRNA
Rfam family: Bacterial large subunit ribosomal RNA
Source: RNAcentral
CCUGAAACCGGAUGCUUACAAGCAGUUGGAGCCUCUUUAUGAGGUGACAGCGUACCUUUUGUAUAAUGGGUCAGCGACUUAAUCUCAUUAGCAAGCUUAAGCCACAUAGGUGUAGGCGAAGCGAAAGCGAGUCUGAAUAGGGCGAUUUAGUUAAUGGGAUUAGACUCGAAACCGAGUGAUCUAGUCAUGAGCAGGUUGAAAGUGAAGUAAAAUUCACCGGAGGACCGAACCCACUAGCGUUGAAAAGCUACGGGAUGACUUGUGAUUAGGGGUGAAAGGCCAACCAAACUCGGAAAUAGCUAGUUCUCCGCGAAAACUAUUUAGGUAGUGCGUCGUGUGAAUCUUGUCGGGGGUAGAGCACUGAAUGGGCUAGGGGGAAGCAAUUCCUACCAAACCUAAUCAAACUCCGAAUACCGAUAAGUCUGCACGGCAGACAGUCCAUGGGUGCUAAGGUCCUUGGACGAGAGGGAAACAGCCCAGAUCAACAGCUAAGGUCCCCAAAUAAUGAUUAAGUGUGAAAGGGAGUGGGAACUCCAAGACAGCCAGGAGGUUGGCUUAGAAGCAGCCAUCCUUUAAAGAAAGCGUAACAGCUCACUGGUCUAAUUAAGAGAUCCUGCACCGAAAAUGUAACGGGGCUCAAAUCAUUUACCGAAGCUUUGACAAUUACUUUGUAAUUGGGUAGCGGAGCGUUCUGUAAGCCUGUAAAGGUGAUGCGUAAGCAUUGCUGGAGGUAUCAGAAGUGCGAAUGCUGACAUGAGUAACGAUAAGAAAUGUGAAAGACAUUUCCGCCGAAAUCCUAAGGUUUCCUGCGUAAAGCUAAUCUGCGCAGGGUUAGUCGGCCCCUAAGGCGAGGGCGAAAGCCGUAGUCGAUGGGAAGCAGGUUAAUAUUCCUGCACCAGCUGGUAGUGACGGAUGAAGUAAAUUGUAAGUUCUUACUGGAUUGAGCUUGCAGUGAAUUUGUCCCUGGAAAUAGCUCCAGCAUUAGACCGUACCAAAACCGACACAGGUAGGAGGGUAGAGAAUACCAAGGCGCUUGAGAGAACUAUGUUGAAGGAACUCGGCAAAUUACACUUGUAACUUCGGGAUAAAAGUGACCUGCUAUUGGGCAACCAGUAGGAGGUGGCACAGAAGAGGGGGUAGCGACUGUUUACUAAAAACAUAGCACUAUGCAAAGUCGAAAGACGACGUAUAUGGUGUGACGCCUGCCCGGUGCCGGAAGGUUAAUAGGAGGGGUGCAAGCCCUGAAUUGAAGCCCCGGUGAACGGCGGCCGUAACUAUAACGGUCCUAAGGUAGCGAAAUUCCUUGUCGGGUAAGUUCCGACCUGCACGAAUGGCGUAACGAUUUCCCCACUGUCUCCAACAUAGACUCAGUGAAAUUGAAUUCUCGGUUAAGAUGCCGAGUAACCGUGGUUAGACGGAAAGACCCCGUGCACCUUUACUGCAGCUUUGUAUUGGUAUUAGGGAACAGAUGUGUAGCAUAGGUGGGAGACUUUGAAGGAGUGGCGCUAGCCAUUCUGGAGUCACUAGUGAAAUACCACUCUUCUGUUCCUUGAUGCCUAACCAUACACCGUCAUCCGGUGUUGGGACCAUGCAUGGUGGGCAGUUUGACUGGGGCGGUCGCCUCCCAAAGAGUAACGGAGGCGCGCGAUGGUAGGCUCAGAACGCUUGGAAACCGUUCGUCGAGUGCAAUGGCAUAAGCCUGCCUGACUGCGAGACCCACAAGUCGAGCAGAGACGAAAGUCGGUCAUAGUGAUCCGGUGGCACUUCGUGGAAGGGCCAUCGCUCAACGGAUAAAAGGUACGCCGGGGAUAA